UGAAGGAGAUUUGCCAAGCUUCAGCCUUGUCCAUUGCAGACACAUUCGACAGAUACUGUGCCUAGGCCCUGCAGGCAAGAAAAGAGGCAGAGAUUGGAAAGGCAGUACUAUAUAGGAAUCAGAGCUCUACUCUUCAUCCUGUGGCUCAGGAGGAACUGAUGAAAGAGGGUGCAACUGCACCUGAGAUCAUGAUGGUUUUGGCAGGAAAGCUGACACAGCUUCAUCCACUAGCAGUUUUAAGCUAGAAAAUCUCCAAUAAACAGGCCUACACAUGCGUAAUUCCAGUUUGUGCCUGCACUGAGAACCUCAGUGAACAGCACUGAUAGGGCGUACGCUAUUCCUCCCAUUUUUUGCAUCAUUGCAAAUUUAAUGAAUAGUUCUUCCACCCCCUCAUCUGGAUCAUUUAUUAAAAAAAAUUGAAAAAGCACCAGUCUCAGAAUCUAGACACUCCUUCCAAUCAGAUGAAGUGCCACUGACAAUUACUCUUUGGGUGUGGUUCCCAACCAGUUCCCUAUCCAUUUACCGGUAACUAUCCUACAGUCUAGUAUCCAGUGUUCCAGUUCAGCUGUCAGCACAUCAUGGGGAAUUUUUACUGAAAUCCAGCUGGAACAGAGAAAGCUAUUCCCAGGCAUGAGAAGAGCUUAUUGUCUUGAUAAGGAAGAUCAACAUGUGUUUAAUUUUUUGUAGAACAGCCAGUGAUAGAAUUCAAAUAAUUUAACAACUGAUUGUUUACAAGCACCCUUUUAACAACCGGUUCUGCCAAAGUGGUGCAAAGCUGCUGAAUCCCACCACUGAGAACAGCCCACUGAAGUUCUGUGUUCUGGGGAAAAGUAGGGGAAAAUCUACUUGUCAGAUUUCAUUCUUGAUGGCUUCAGGAUGGGGCAGUCUGACCUUAGGAAAGUGCCUUGCAUUGUUGCAGGCAGGGUUGCUAGGCUUUGGUGACCCCAAUGUGAAGGGCUUCCCACAAUGCUCCCAGACCAUCUCUUGAAAAAGCCUCUGAUAUACACUUUAAACCUUAAGAAAUCACACUCCACAAUCCAUCAAGACAGCAAACAUAGAAGACAGUAAAAAAAAUGUAAAGAGAAGAAGACAUUUCUCCAUACAUAAGGAUGCUAGGAUCUGUGAAGUCUCACCUAUUCAGAAGCCACUCCAAGAUUUAAGCUGCAGAGUGCUGCAUGACUUUAAUGCGUGGGGUGGGGGGGGAGGGAUAGAGGAGGCAAGAUGCAAACAAACACUGUGCUGCUCUAGAACGGCAGCAGAUGGAAAAUUCACCGAGUCCAAGUCAGACUCGUUGAGUUUUUGAACAGAGUUUUUAGAUGUCUCACAAUCAAGUGACUUUCGACCAUUUUCCUUGCAUCUCCUGCGGAGUUUUGUUGAAGACUCAAAGGAACUGGAUUGUGAGGAUGGAGAUGACUGUAAUGAAUCAGUGCCAAGCAAAGGUGGCUGAUGAGGAAGAAGAAAGAGCAGCAAACAAAGUGCAAGAGCAAAAAGGACAAAAAGAAAAUUUAAAUUAGUUAAUUUCCCCUGUAUAUAAAAUUAAUUACACAAGAUUAAAGAAUGCCAAAUUUAUUCACCAGAUUAAAAUAUACCAAUUCCCAUGCUGCAUGCCAUAAUUAUUCAAAUAAAGGGUAGCAGCCCAAAGAAACAAAUUUGAAAAACAACCUGUCUGUUAAAGUAUACUGGUAUGAGUUCUUAUGUUUAAAAAUGUUGUGCUAUAGAAUGGUUGUGCAUAUGUUGUUUAAAAUUAUGUAGAAAUUCCAUGCCCCUCUCUAUUCAUUAGAAAUUAAUUCGAAAUUAGAAAUUCAUGACUUCUCAAAUACAAAGGCUGAAUUCACAAAAUCUUUGCACACUGUCUCCUUCUAUUCACAUGUCAAUUCCUUCCUUCGUUUCAGGAUGCUCUAAAACAUGGCUACACUUACCUGUAACUGAUGGUCAUCAAGUGUUUUUCUGUACAGGCACAUACUGAAACUGUGCAUGCUCUGCCCAGCCACAGACAUCUAAAAGUUUCUGACAGUACAAGAAGCUAAAGGAGCACGGAGCUCUCCCAUCUUCCAGUGCAAUUUCCUGCCCUAAUCGCCUAAAAAAGAAAGGCCAUCUCUCUCAGUGUAUUGAGGUUGCCGCUGGUAAAGAUACAACCUUAAGAAGACCAAAAAAAGCUCACCACAGUGCACAGAAAGGGAUGUGUGCCUGCACAGAAGAACACUCAAUAACGGUAACAGGCAAGUGCAACCAUGUUUUCACUGUCAUGUCUUUUGUGCAGUCCCACAUGGGAGAGUAGUAUACUUCUGCCUCCUUGGUGCCCAGAAUGACUCCCUGUACAGGAACAGAAAGGUGAACUUGGACUGAGGAUUUUGCUAAUCCUUUAUAUUUUAGACUUCAUUGGUAAUCCAGCAGUGAUGAAUGAGAGCAAACUGUAGGCUCUGAGCCUGCUAUAGUAGGCCAGGCUCCAUUUCAGUGAUGGUGUGGUAGAAGGCAUUCUAAUUGCUGAGAACAUUCUUUGUACCAGCUGGGAGAAAGUCAAGACAG
Long non-coding RNA from Sphaerodactylus townsendi, 2526 nucleotides. RefSeq lists it as uncharacterized. The record is from RefSeq and is a predicted model, not a curated record. The transcript has 6 exons. NCBI's taxonomy places the organism in Eukaryota, Metazoa, Chordata, Lepidosauria, Squamata, Sphaerodactylidae.